GAUGAACGCUAGCGGCAGGCCUAAUACAUGCAAGUCGAGGGGCAGCGCGGUAGCAAUACUGGCGGCGACCGGCGCACGGGUGCGUAACACGUAUGCAACCUACCUUCAACUGGAGGAUAGCCCGGGGAAACUCGGAUUAAUACUCCAUAACACAGGGAUCCCGCAUGGGAAUAUUGUUAAAGCUACGGCGGUUGAAGAUGGGCAUGCGUUCGAUUAGCUAGUUGGUGUAGGUAACGGCUCACCAAGGCUACGAUCGAUAGGGGGUCUGAGAGGAUGAUCCCCCACACUGUACUGAGAUACGGACCAGACUCCUACGGGAGGCAGCAGUAGGGAAUA
This 336-nucleotide ribosomal RNA is filed under the name uncultured bacterium. RNAcentral describes it as "bacterial SSU rRNA". It matches the Rfam family "Bacterial small subunit ribosomal RNA", at positions 28 to 363 of the family's 1533-position model. The record is from RNAcentral.